GCCCGCGUGGUGUAGUGGUAUCACAUCCUACUCUUAACAGACCUAGUACUAGCCGACUGAUGGCAGGAACAGACCUGGCUUAGAUUUGGGAAGAUCGCUGGUUCAACCCCAGCCGCGGGUA
RNAcentral lists this transfer RNA (121 nucleotides) under Pyronema domesticum. RNAcentral describes it as "tRNA-Lys". It matches the Rfam family "tRNA". From Rfam's summary of the family: Transfer RNA (tRNA) molecules are approximately 80 nucleotides in length. Lineage: Eukaryota; Fungi; Ascomycota; Pezizomycetes; Pezizales; Pyronemataceae. The record is from RNAcentral.